UAAUACAUGCAAGUCGAACGCCUGUAGCAAUACAGGAGUGGCGCACGGGUGAGUAACACGUGGGUAUCUACCUAGCUGUACGGAACAACCGCGGGAAACUGCGGCUAAUACCGUAUACGCCCUUCGGGGGAAAGAUUUAUCGCAGCUAGAUGAGCCCGCGUCCGAUUAGCUAGUUGGUGAGGUAAUGGCUCACCAAGGCUCCGAUCGGUAGCUGGUCUGAGAGGAUGACCAGCCACACUGGGACUGAGACACGGCCCAGACUCC
This 264-nucleotide ribosomal RNA is filed under the name uncultured bacterium. RNAcentral's name for it is "partial 16S ribosomal RNA". It matches the Rfam family "Bacterial small subunit ribosomal RNA", at positions 49 to 339 of the family's 1533-position model. The record is from RNAcentral.